CGUGUGUGGUUUGCGAGGGUGCGCUGGGGAAGGGCGGCAGCCCUGUGUGUCCUUUGUGUUGGCAGGGGGAACCUGGCUGGUCACCGAGUUCCUCGCACACGCUGCUUACUGCAGUUUUCAGUUUGGAUUUCCGGUGAAUAGCACUGGGCUUCGGGCGACCCGACCCUGAAGGCAGUUCCUUGAAACUUCCAACCUCGCGCCGAGGCCGUCUGUCCGAAUGCCGCCGCCUCUCCGGGCGGGGAAGGAGAAAGCAGCGGACGGCUUUUCCCAGCCUAGGCGUCUGCCCUCCUGUUGUUGUCGCUGGCUGCCCUUCUGGAUGCACCAAGAUGCUGGGGAGAGGGGCAGCCUGUCCCCACUCAUCGCCCAGCAAAUGCCUCCCCGGUUUGGAACCUGGCCCGGCUUGCUCCAGUUUGGAACCUGCCCGGCGGACCCAUUCCGGGAUCCCGGCCUCACGUCCGAUGCCAGCACUGAAAUCCAUGUCCUCACGAAGCUCUGGAUGACAAUCUCAGACUGUCCCUCUGGACUGUAAGUUCCUUGUGGGCAGGUAUCGUGCCUACCGACCUCGUUGUGUUGUACUCCCCUAAGCCCUCAAUAAAUAAAUUC
Molecule: long non-coding RNA, 603 nt
Organism: Ornithorhynchus anatinus (platypus)
Lineage: Eukaryota; Metazoa; Chordata; Mammalia; Monotremata; Ornithorhynchidae
Exons: 3
Source: RefSeq, a predicted model, not a curated record